AAAGUUCUGUAACACUUCGACU
RNAcentral lists this microRNA (22 nucleotides) under Scyliorhinus torazame (cloudy catshark). Its description in RNAcentral is "Sto-Mir-148-P1_5p* (star (passenger))". The record is from RNAcentral. Lineage: Eukaryota; Metazoa; Chordata; Chondrichthyes; Carcharhiniformes; Scyliorhinidae.